UGGGGAAUAUUGCGCAAUGGGCGAAAGCCUGACGCAGCGACGCCGCGUGAGGGAUAAAGGUUUUCGGAUCGUAAACCUCUGUCAGAAGGGAAGAAACCGCACUGUGCUAAUCAGCAGUGCCUUGACGGUACCUUCAAAGGAAGCACCGGCUAACUCCGUGCCAGCAGCCGCGGUAAUACGGAGGGUGCAAGCGUUAAUCGGAAUUACUGGGCGUAAAGCGCACGUAGGCUGCUUUGUAAGUCAGGGGUGAAAUCCCACGGCUCAACCGUGGAACUGCCUUUGAUACUGCUUAGCUUGAAUCCGGGAGAGGGUGGCGGAAUUCCAGGUGUAGGAGUGAAAUCCGUAGAUAUCUGGAGGAACAUCAGUGGCGAAGGCGGCCACCUGGACCGGUAUUGACGCUGAGGUGCGAAAGCGUGGGGAGCAAACAGG
RNAcentral lists this ribosomal RNA (429 nucleotides) under Fusobacteriota bacterium. RNAcentral's name for it is "Fusobacteria bacterium partial 16S ribosomal RNA". It matches the Rfam family "Bacterial small subunit ribosomal RNA", at positions 355 to 776 of the family's 1533-position model. The record is from RNAcentral. Lineage: Bacteria; Fusobacteriati; Fusobacteriota.